This 148-nucleotide non-coding RNA is filed under the name Homo sapiens (human). Lineage: Eukaryota; Metazoa; Chordata; Mammalia; Primates; Hominidae. The record is from Rfam by way of RNAcentral.
GCCGGGCGUGGUGGUGCGUGCCUGUAAUCCCAGCUACUCAGGGGGCUGAGGCUGGAGAAUCACUUGAACCCAGGAGGUAGAGGUUGCAGUGAGCCGAGAUUAUGCCACUGCACUCCAGCCUGGGUGAUAGAGUGAGACUCCGUCUCAA